This 249-nucleotide unclassified non-coding RNA is filed under the name Melitaea cinxia (Glanville fritillary). Its description in RNAcentral is "misc RNA ENSMCXG00005019715.1". Lineage: Eukaryota; Metazoa; Arthropoda; Insecta; Lepidoptera; Nymphalidae. The record is from RNAcentral.
UCAUUGUUUCUUUUCUUUUUUUUUUUUUUUUUUUUUUUUUUUUUUUUUUUUUUUUUUUUUUUUCUCAUUUCGUAAAAAAAAAAAAAAAAAAAAAAAAAAAAAAAAAAAAAAAAAAAAAAAAAAAAAAAAAAAAAAAAAAAAAGGUUAGGUUAGGUUAGGUUAGGUUAGGUUCCCAGGCCCCAGACCUAGGUCUGGGAGGAGUUCCUGGUCUUCUACCUGGGCGCGUCCCCCGGGUGGCGGAUAGGGGAG